RNAcentral lists this ribosomal RNA (449 nucleotides) under uncultured bacterium. RNAcentral's name for it is "bacterial SSU rRNA". It matches the Rfam family "Bacterial small subunit ribosomal RNA", at positions 29 to 506 of the family's 1533-position model. The record is from RNAcentral.
ACGAACGCUGGCGGCGUGCUUCAUACAUGCAAGUCGAGCGAGAAAGCGUCCUUCGGGGCGUUAGUAAAGCGGCGAACGGCUGCGUAACACGUUGGUACCUACCCCGCACUCAGGGAUAACCUGCCGAAAGGCGGGCUAAUACCGGAUAGUUCCCGUGAGGGUCAAGCUUCGGCGGUGCGGGAGGGGCCUGCGGCCUAUCAGUUUGUUGGCAGGGUAACGGCCUACCAAGACUAUGACGGGUAGCUGGUCUGAGAGGACGACCAGCCAGAAUGGGACUGCGACACGGCCCAUACUCCUACGGGAGGCAGCAGUGAGGAAUCUUCCGCAAUGGGCGAAAGCCUGACGGAGCGACACCGCGUGAAGGAUGAAGCCCUUUCUGGGUGUAAACUUCUGUUCUGAGGGACGAAAUUUUUGACGGUACCUCAGGAGAAAGCACCGGCUAAUUCUGU